Eutrema salsugineum is the source of this 1633-nucleotide RNA transcript. It is a transcript of the gene named GTPase ERA-like, chloroplastic, with no coding region annotated. The record is from RefSeq and is a predicted model, not a curated record. The transcript is spliced from 10 exons. Lineage: Eukaryota; Viridiplantae; Streptophyta; Magnoliopsida; Brassicales; Brassicaceae.
CAGUCGACCAUUGUAGAGAGAGGUAUCAAAUCAAUUCAAAAAACCACUCCGACAAUGGCGGUCUCUCAGCAUAUUUCGCCUAGUCUUUCCCGCUACAAAUUCUUCUCUACAUCCGUAGUUGAAAACCCUAAUUUCUCUACAUAUCAUAUCUACAGUCGGCGGAGUAGAGUUACCAAAUCGCAUCUUCAGGCGCACAGCAGUACCAGUAGCUAUGGCCGGACGGAACUCGCCGCCUCCGCGAAGAAGCUAUGGAUUAGGCAACGAAGCUUCAGCGAAACGGAGGUUGAACAAGGCCAAUUUGAAGAUGAAGAGGAGCAGGAAGACAUCGAUAUCAGUGACGAGGCGAGUCUCCUCUCCUUGAGCAUGAAACCGGACAGAAACAUGGCGUUGCUCGACGAUUAUGAGAUGGAGGAGCUCGGUCACACACCUGAUACUAAUCAUCGCAGCGGAUACGUGGCGGUGCUUGGGAUGCCCAACGUCGGGAAAAGCACGCUUUCGAAUCAAAUGAUUGGUCAGAAAAUUUCCAUUGUUACAGAUAAACCUCAAACGACGAGGCAUCGGAUUCUCGGUAUCUGUUCUAGCCCAGAAUAUCAGAUGAUACUUUAUGACACACCUGGUGUAAUCGAGAAGAAGAUGCACAGGUUAGAUACAAUGAUGAUGAAGAAUGUCCGAGAUGCUGCCAUCAAUGCCGAUUGCGUGGUAGUGCUUGUUGAUGCAUGUAAAAUGCCUGCAAAUAUAGAAGAAGUUUUGAAAGAGGGCUUGGGAAACCUCGAAAAAAGGCCACCUAUGUUGCUUGUUAUGAAUAAGAAAGAUCUGAUCAAACCUGGUGAGAUUGCAAAGAAACUGGAGUGGUAUGAAAAAUUUACAGACGUUGAUGAAGUUAUACCUGUAAGUGCAAAGUAUGGACAUGGAGUAGAGGAUGUAAAAGAGUGGAUACUAUCCAAGCUUCCCUUUGGGCCUCCUUAUUAUCCAAAGGAUAUUGUGAGUGAGCACCCAGAGAGAUUCUUUGUUGCUGAGAUUGUUAGAGAGAAGAUUUUUAUGCAGUACCGAAAUGAAGUUCCUUAUGCAUGUCAGGUGAACGUGCUCAGCUACAAAACUAGACCGGCUGCAAAAGAUUUUAUUCAAGUGGAAGUAGUAGUUGACAAAAAUUCUCAGAAGAUCAUCCUUAUAGGAAAAGAAGGGAAGGCUUUGAAAACGCUAGCAACGGCUGCUAGGCUCGACAUUGAAGAUUUCCUUCAGAAAAAAGUCUUCCUCGAGGUGGAAGUAAAAGUGAAAGAGAACUGGAGACAAGACGAGGGACUUCUCAAGUACUAUGGCUAUGGAGGACAGAUCCGAGCUAUGUAGUAGUGACCAGUGACGGUGUAGCGGUUUAUGGGCUUUAAAUGGGCAUUGAAGAUGAGAAAGUGCAAAUGGCACGGUUCAGGUUGUAAGUAUACUCUCAACCUAACAUACAAAAAAUUGCAAUAUAUUUUACUUUUUAUAAAAGUAAAAAAGAAGCUGAACCGUGAUUUAUGGCGGCGGGGGGGGGGAUAAGUAGAGUGAAUUGCUGUGUGGGUUUGGGUCGGGUCGUUGAAAGUUAGAUCCGCUUGUUGCGCUUAAGCCUGCCUCUUCUGGAUGAUAAAGUGCGAGUGAG